GUAGGGAAUAUUGGACAAUGGGGGGAACCCUGAUCCAGCCAUGCCGCGUGGAGGAAGACUGCCCUCUGGGUUGUAAACUCCUUUUAUAUGGGAAGAACCGUCCUCAUUAAUGAGUGACCUGACGGUACCAUAGGAAUAAGCACCGGCUAACUCCGUGCCAGCAGCCGCGGUAAUACGGAGGGUGCAAGCGUUAUCCGGAUUCACUGGGUUUAAAGGGUGCGUAGGCGGAUAAAUAAGUCAGUGGUGAAAUCAACGGGCCCAACCUGUUAACUGCCAUUGAUACUGUGUAUCUUGAAUAUGAGAGAGGUAGGCGGAAUGUUGCAUGUAGCGGUGAAAUGCUUAGAUAUGCUACGGAACACCGAUUGCGAAGGCAGCUUACUAUUUCGUAAUUGACGCUGAGGCACGAAAGCGUGGGUAGCGAACAGGAUUAGAUACCCCAGUAGUCC
RNAcentral lists this ribosomal RNA (446 nucleotides) under uncultured bacterium. RNAcentral's name for it is "bacterial SSU rRNA". It matches the Rfam family "Bacterial small subunit ribosomal RNA", at positions 354 to 796 of the family's 1533-position model. The record is from RNAcentral.